UCUGACCGAGCAACGCCGCGUGAGUGAAGAAGGUUUUCGGAUCGUAAAACUCUGUUGUUAGAGAAGAACAAGGAUGAGAGUAGAACGUUCAUCCCUUGACGGUAUCUAACCAGAAAGCCACGGCUAACUACGUGCCAGCAGCCGCGGUAAUACGUAGGUGGCAAGCGUUGUCCGGAUUUAUUGGGCGUAAAGCGAGCGCAGGCGGUUUCUUAAGUCUGAUGUGAAAGCCCCCGGCUCAACCGGGGAGGGUCAUUGGAAACUGGGAGACUUGAGUGCAGAAGAGGAGAGUGGAAUUCCAUGUGUAGCGGUGAAAUGCGUAGAUAUAUGGAGGAACACCAGUGGCGAAGGCGGCUCUCUGGUCUGUAACUGACGCUGAGGCUCGAAAGCGUGGGGAGCGAACAGGAUUAGAUACCCUGGUAGUCCACGCCGUAAACGAUGAGUGCUAAGUGUUGGAGGGUUUCCGCCCUUCAGUGCUGCAGCAAACGCAUUAAGCACUCCGCCUGGGGAGUACGACCGCAAGGUUGAAACUCAAAGGAAUUGACGGGGGCCCGCACAAGCGGUGGAGCAUGUGGUUUAAUUCGAAGCAACGCGAAGAACCUUACCAGGUCUUGACAUCCUUUGACCACUCUAGAGAU
RNAcentral lists this ribosomal RNA (635 nucleotides) under Enterococcus sp. Se1Pt_1545. RNAcentral's name for it is "bacterial SSU rRNA". It matches the Rfam family "Bacterial small subunit ribosomal RNA", at positions 382 to 1007 of the family's 1533-position model. The record is from RNAcentral. Lineage: Bacteria; Bacillati; Bacillota; Bacilli; Lactobacillales; Enterococcaceae.